CUUCUUCUCUCCCUACAGCGGUAACAUUUAAAACUGGGACUGUCAACAAACAGGAAUAACCUCAAACCUUCCUUAUCACCAGCUUGAAGAGUGUUUACGUCAGGUCGCCACUCAGUUUUUUUACUCGUUUUUGGUGUUUUUACAGCUAAAAAUGAGCGGUUAAACGUACUGCCUUUUAGUAUUUUAUAUGCUUUAGCCUUAUUGACCCAUGUAUUAAUUUCACCUUCUCUACUUAUCACCAGCUUGAAGAGUGUUUACGUCAGGUCGCCACUCAGUUUUUCACUCGUUUUUUGUGUGUUUCUGCAGCUCAAAAUGAGCUGUUAAAGGUACUGCCUCUUAGUUUUUAUGCUUUAGCCUUAUUGACCCAUGUGUUAAGUUCUCCUUCUCUAUUUAUCACCAUGUUUGCCUGUUUGAGUGGUUUUGAAAAAGCGACUAGUGAAAGUCUCCCCGAAAUCGAGAGCUUCACUUUGGCUGAAUUUUGAAGAAAGUCGACGUCAGCACCAAAACCCUUAGAUCAAUGCGACCCACCUACUCGGAUAACGCGAUCGGCUAUGUGCAGCUGAAGCGGGAGGGCACGCUUUGUCAUGUCAUUGCUCGGAUAACGCCGGAGCAUAAAAUCCAAAAAGGGGCUUACAGAGUUCAUUGCGAGGUUGAUGAAGGUCCAAAGUAUGCAACUAUCAAGGCAGCUUACUGCGAGGAUUGCGCAGCUUCUCAAGGAGGAAAUUGCAAACAUGCAAUAGCAUGUGUAACUUGGUUACACCGAAGAAGUGAGGAGCCGUCAGUAACUGAAACGAAGUGUUAUUGGAAAAAAUCAAAGCUUUCCAAAGAUGGGGCAAGCUGUAUGACUGCAACGGAGAUUGUGAGAGAGAGUGAAAAAUUGAAGAAAAGGAAACAACCAGCAAAACAGCAGAUUCCAAUCACACCUGCAGACAGCGAAACCUUUUUUGAAGAGCUUGCCUCCGAGUUUAAAGAUGAAAGUGAUAACAUGCUAUUUGCUGCAAUGCUUAAUAGAAAGAGGUCAUAUUCGACUCAUCAUUUACUAAUGGACUUCAAAGAGACAAAUUUACCACAAGAUGCUGAUUCUUAUCUCCAGUACUGCUCAUCAGUUAUGACUGACGAAGGGUGCCGCAUUCUAGCAGAGGCCACAGAUAAUCAAGCUAAGUGUUAUUUGUGGUUGAUUCAAGAUAUGGUCGUGUGA
Molecule: long non-coding RNA, 1198 nt
Filed under: Bemisia tabaci
Lineage: Eukaryota; Metazoa; Arthropoda; Insecta; Hemiptera; Aleyrodidae
Description: lncRNA ENSSSA1UGG005978
Source: RNAcentral